This 649-nucleotide ribosomal RNA is filed under the name Listeria monocytogenes. RNAcentral describes it as "partial 23S ribosomal RNA". It matches the Rfam family "Bacterial large subunit ribosomal RNA", at positions 378 to 1027 of the family's 2925-position model. The record is from RNAcentral. Lineage: Bacteria; Bacillati; Bacillota; Bacilli; Caryophanales; Listeriaceae.
GUUGAAAUGGCUUUCCCUCCAGAGUGGAUCCUGAGUACGGCGGAACACGUGAAAUUCCGUCGGAAUCCGGGAGGACCAUCUCCCAAGGCUAAAUACUCCCUAGUGACCGAUAGUGAACCAGUACCGUGAGGGAAAGGUGAAAAGCACCCCGGAAGGGGAGUGAAACAGUUCCUGAAACCGUGUGCCUACAAGUAGUUAGAGCCCGUUAAUGGGUGAUAGCGUGCCUUUUGUAGAAUGAACCGGCGAGUUACGAUUUGUUGCAAGGUUAAGCGGAAAAAGCGGAGCCGUAGCGAAAGCGAGUCUGAAUAGGGCGCAUAAGUAACAGGUCGUAGACCCGAAACCAGGUGAUCUACCCAUGUCCAGGAUGAAGGUAAGGUAAUACUUACUGGAGGUCCGAACCCACGCACGUUGAAAAGUGCGGGGAUGAGGUGUGGGUAGCGGAGAAAUUCCAAUCGAACUUGGAGAUAGCUGGUUCUCUCCGAAAUAGCUUUAGGGCUAGCCUCGAGGUAAAGAGUCAUGGAGGUAGAGCACUGUUUGGACUAGGGGCCCUUCUCGGGUUACCGAAUUCAGAUAAACUCCGAAUGCCAUGUACUUAUACUCGGGAGUCAGACUGCGAGUGAUAAGAUCCGUAGUCGAAAGGGAAACAGCC